CACCACAGGUACUGUACUACUGUAAAACACUCCAACACUAUAAUUCCAGGUGGAUCUGGUCCAGUCUGUGUUAAUAUCCUCGCUCUCUCCUGUGUUUAGUUCCAGGUGGAUCCGGUCCAGGUGAUGUGACCUAUGCUGACGUCAACCACACAAAAAGACAACACAACAGGAGGAGAGAGAACGUCGUUCCAGACCCUGUCUACUCAGCAGUGAAGACAGACAGACCGAGAUACAGGUAGAGCUGUAUCUGGACCCAGGGAAGUAAUGUACAGACUGAGUGACCCUGUUCAUCAGAACGUCAUGGUGGGUGGAAAAAGAUGCUCUCUUCAGCAGCGGUGAAUAACCACAACCCUGUCAGUCCAUCUCUUUACUUCUCAUUUCUCUUAUUUUCUCUCUCCCCCUUCCCUUUUCACACCAGCACACUUAUCUUUAGAUGCAGCAGCCUUGACCUCCAUCAACAGUAUCAGCAACAGAGAGGUGUGAAGUUUCCACAACAGAGUUAGAGUCAGUUUAUCAUGUACUUCUCUUUAGAUGCUGCAGCCUUGACCUCCAUCAACAGAGUUAGAGUCAGUUUAUCAUGAGAACAUUCAGACACCACUGACUGGAACCAGCUGACAGUAUCAGUUGUAAAGGCUUCAUUACUACUAACAGAAGGAAAGUUGUAGUGUUAUGUCCAUGAUGAAAAGGCUUCAUUACUACUAACAGAAGGAAAGUUGUAGUGUUAUGUCCAUGAUGUAAUGUCAUUGUGUGUGUUUACCUUGAGCAACACCAUUGUAUGGUUGCUAACUUGUCAAAUUAAGCUUCCUAAAAUUUGUUAGAAAAUGUGUCAGUGUCACAACUAUACUAAUGUCACGUCCUGACCAUAGUAAGAUGUUAUUUUUAGAGCAGGGUGUGGCAGGGGGUGUUGUGUUUUUCUAUGUUUUGUAUUUCUAUGUUGUUUAUUUGGGAUGAUCUCCAAUUAGAGGCAGCUGGUCCUCGUUGUCUCUAAUUGGAGAUCAUACUUAAGUAUGUUUUUUUUACACCUGUGUUUUUGGGUAGUUGUCUUCUGCUUAGUUUUC
Salmo salar (Atlantic salmon) is the source of this 1058-nucleotide non-coding RNA. The record is from RefSeq and is a predicted model, not a curated record. NCBI's taxonomy places the organism in Eukaryota, Metazoa, Chordata, Actinopteri, Salmoniformes, Salmonidae.